This 464-nucleotide ribosomal RNA is filed under the name uncultured bacterium. RNAcentral describes it as "partial 16S ribosomal RNA". It matches the Rfam family "Bacterial small subunit ribosomal RNA", at positions 28 to 507 of the family's 1533-position model. The record is from RNAcentral.
GACGAACGCUGGCGGCGUGCUUAACACAUGCAAGUCGAACGGAGAGGCCCCUUUGGGGGUACUCGAGUGGCGAACGGGUGAGUAACACGUGAGUAACCUGCCCUUGACUUCGGGAUAACUUCAGGAAACUGGGGCUAAUACCGGAUAGGAAUCCUUGCUGCAUGGUGGGGGUUGGAAAGCUUCGGCGGUUUUGGAUGGACUCGCGGCUUAUCAGCUUGUUGGUGGGGUAGUGGCUUACCAAGGCUUUGACGGGUAGCCGGCCUGAGAGGGCGACCGGCCACAUUGGGACUGAGAUACGGCCCAGACUCCUACGGGAGGCAGCAGUGGGGAAUAUUGCACAAUGGGCGGAAGCCUGAUGCAGCAACGCCGCGUGCGGGAUGACGGCCUUCGGGUUGUAAACCGCUUUCAGCAGGGGCGAAGCUUUUGUGACGGUACCUGCAGAAGAAGCACCGGCUAACUACGUG